UCAAAGAUUAAGCCAUGCAUGUCUCAGUACAAGCCAAAWUAAGGUGAAACCGCGAAAGGCUCAUUAAAUCAGUUAUGGUUCCUUAGAUCGUACCCACAAUUACUUGGAUAACUGUGGUAAUUCUAGAGCUAAUACAUGCAAACAGAGCUCCGACCGGAGACGGAAGGAGUGCUUUUAUUAGAUCAAAACCAAUCGGUGGCGGGUUCGCUCGUCAUCGUACAACUUGGUGACUCUGAAUAACUUUACGCUGAUCGCACGGUCAUCGCACCGGCGACGCAUCUUUCAAAUGUCUGCCUUAUCAACUGUCGAUGGUAGGUUCUGCGCCUACCAUGGUUGUAACGGGUAACGGGGAAUCAGGGUUCGAUUCCGGAGAGGGAGCCUGARAAACGGCUACCACAUCCAAGGAAGGCAGCAGGCGCGCAAAUUACCCACUCCCGGCACGGGGAGGUAGUGACRAAAAAUAACGAUACGGRACUCAUCCGAGGCCCCGUAAUCGGAAUGAKUACACUCUAA
RNAcentral lists this ribosomal RNA (513 nucleotides) under Trigonopterus ejaculatorius. Its description in RNAcentral is "SSU rRNA". The record is from RNAcentral. Lineage: Eukaryota; Metazoa; Arthropoda; Insecta; Coleoptera; Curculionidae.